UAACACCAAUAUAAAUAGAAUUCAAGAUUGCUACAGUACAUAAAGAGGUGGUAGUUUGUUUUCUUGUGCUAAUGAUAUCACAAGUUUCUAUUUAAGUUUUGUGUUGUGAAGUUUUCAAGUUUUGGGUGAUGUUCUCAUGGAAAAAGAGAUCAGGAGUGGAAAGAGCUCAAGCUUGGGCAUUCCCAAGGCAUCCCAAGACAAAUUC
This 205-nucleotide long non-coding RNA is filed under the name Hordeum vulgare. Its description in RNAcentral is "long non-coding RNA (HVUL_LNC000517)". The record is from RNAcentral. Lineage: Eukaryota; Viridiplantae; Streptophyta; Magnoliopsida; Poales; Poaceae.